Macrobrachium nipponense is the source of this 663-nucleotide long non-coding RNA. RefSeq lists it as uncharacterized. NCBI's taxonomy places the organism in Eukaryota, Metazoa, Arthropoda, Malacostraca, Decapoda, Palaemonidae. The transcript is spliced from 2 exons. The record is from RefSeq and is a predicted model, not a curated record.
AAUCAGUUUUGUUAAAUAUGAAUGUGUGGUAUUUAAUAUGGACUUUAAUGUAUUAAACUUGAUGGUGCCUGGUUUUGAUAAAUGUUUUUAAUCUGUUAAAUUAAUACGUAAGCAAACUUCUCACUCCUUAAUGAGUGAAAAUUCCUAUUUUCCAGGGACUGUCAGUUCUGGAAACUUUUCUAAAUUGGAGCGAUGACCGUUUUAGAGACCUGCUUCUAUAAAAGGAAGUUUAAUUCGAUGUGACGGCUUGGUUCUGAACGCUGCAAUACUGAGGUUUGGUAACUAUUCUUGACUUUUAACUCUGGCCAUGAAGGAUCAUUCUUCAGGAUUUCUACUACUUGGAAUUUGUGACAAAUUAUAAAGGCUCGCUGAUGGAGAUUUGGUUGGGCAUCUUGCAACUGAUCUACUAACUUAAGUUUCUGUCAUUCAGAGGUUAAUUUUCUAAAGUGUAGCGUUUGGGAAUUUUAGUUACGUACUUGCACUUAACGCUACAACUUUAGUCAUAGAUUACUGUACCAAAAUUUUUUCUUUACAAACUUUUUUUUUAAUAAACCAGUAUUACUCUUAUUGCUUAGCAUCGUUUAAGUGUAGUAUUUUAAGUGUCUUUUACGAGGUCUCUUACAAAUUUUGAUUAUCUUGGUUCUCAUAGAAAAUACUCUCAUA